CAAUAACGUAUAUUAAAGUUGUUGCGGUUAAAAAGCUCGUAGUUGGAUUUCUGUUGAAAGUGGCCGGUCCCCACUCCGUGGGCGUAUCUGGUUCGCUUUUGGCAUCCUCCUGUGGAACGUUUCUGCCCUUCAUUGAGUGGAGCGGGACCCAGGACUUUUACUUUGAGGAAAUUCGAGUGUUUACGGCAGGCAAUCGCCUUGAAGAUAUUAGCAUGGAAUAAUAAUAUAGGACCUUGGUCUUAUUUUGUUGGUUUCUAAGACCGAGGUAAUGAUUAAAAGGGAUAUUUGGGGGCAUUCGUAUUAACCGGUCAGAGGUGGAAUUCUUGGAUUCGGUUACGACGAACUACUGCGAAAGCAUUUGUCAAGAAUGUUUUCAUUGA
RNAcentral lists this ribosomal RNA (380 nucleotides) under uncultured eukaryote. Its description in RNAcentral is "partial 18S ribosomal RNA". It matches the Rfam family "Eukaryotic small subunit ribosomal RNA", at positions 592 to 976 of the family's 1831-position model. The record is from RNAcentral.